ACCGGGGCUAAUACCGCAUAAGCCUGCGAAGGGAAAGCGAGCAAUCGCGCUGAAAGAGGAGUCCGCGGCCGAUUAGCUAGUUGGUGAGGUAACGGCUCACCAAGGCGGUGAUCGGUAGCCGGCCUGAGAGGGCACACGGCCACACUGGCACUGAAACACGGGCCAGACUCCUACGGGAGGCAGCAGUGGGGAAUCUUGCACAAUGGAGGCAACUCUGAUGCAGCGACGCCGCGUGAGCGAUGAAGCCCUUCGGGGUGUAAAGCUCUUUCGGCAGGGACGAUAAUGACGGUACCUGAAGAAGAAGCUGCGGCUAACUACGUGCCAGCAGCCGCGGUAAUACGUAGGCAGCGAGCGUUGUUCGGAAUUACUGGGCGUAAAGAGUGUGUAGGCGGUGCUCUAAGUUCGGUGUGAAAUCUCCUGGCUUAACUGGGAGGGUGCGCCGGAAACUGGAG
RNAcentral lists this ribosomal RNA (452 nucleotides) under uncultured Acidobacteriota bacterium. Its description in RNAcentral is "bacterial SSU rRNA". It matches the Rfam family "Bacterial small subunit ribosomal RNA", at positions 156 to 638 of the family's 1533-position model. Lineage: Bacteria; Pseudomonadati; Acidobacteriota. The record is from RNAcentral.